This 459-nucleotide ribosomal RNA is filed under the name uncultured bacterium. RNAcentral's name for it is "partial 16S ribosomal RNA". It matches the Rfam family "Bacterial small subunit ribosomal RNA", at positions 338 to 795 of the family's 1533-position model. The record is from RNAcentral.
CCUACGGGUGGCAGCAGUGAGGAAUAUUGGUCAAUGGGCGCGAGCCUGAACCAGCCAAGUCGCGUGAGGGAUGAAGGUCCUAUGGGUUGUAAACCUCUUUUACCAGGGAGCAAAGUGUGGGACGUGUCCUAUUUUGAUUGUACCUUAUGAAUAAGGAUCGGCUAACUCCGUGCCAGCAGCCGCGGUAAUACGGAGGAUCCGAGCGUUAUCCGGAUUUAUUGGGUUUAAAGGGUGCGCAGGCGGGCUGGUAAGCCGGCGGUAAAAAUGCAGGGCUCAACCUUGUCGAGCCGUCGAAACUGGCAGUCUUGAGUGGGCGAGAAGUAUGCGGAAUGCGUGGUGUAGCGGUGAAAUGCAUAGAUAUCACGCAGAACGCCGAUUGCGAAGGCAGCAUACCGGCGCCCAACUGACGCUGAGGCACGAAAGCGUGGGGAUCGAACAGGAUUAGAUACCCGUGUAGUC